Molecule: non-coding RNA, 45 nt
Filed under: Schistosoma curassoni
Lineage: Eukaryota; Metazoa; Platyhelminthes; Trematoda; Strigeidida; Schistosomatidae
Source: RNAcentral
AUCCAGCUGACGAGUCCCAGACACGACGAAACAUACAUCCUGGAU